CCAAUAGCGUAUAUUAAAGUUGCUGCAGUUAAAAAGCUCGUAGUUGAGUUUCGGGACCAUCAUGUCGGUCGUGCCUCGGUACGUACUGGCAUUGUUGGUUUCUCCCUUCUGACGAACCAUGAUGUCAUUAAUUUGGUGUCUUGGGGAAUCAGGACUGUUACUUUGAAAAAAUUAGAGUGUUUAAAGCAGGCUCACGCUUGAGUACAUUAGCAUGGAAUAAUGAAAUAGGACGUUUGAUUCUAUUUUGUUGGUUUCUAGGAUCGACGUAAUGAUUAAUAGGGAUAGUUGGGGGCAUUAGUAUUCAAUUGUCAGAGGUUAAAUUCUUGGAUUUACUGAAGACUAACUACUGCGAAAGCAUUUGCCAAGGAUGUUUUCAUUAAUCAAGAACGACAGUUAGGGGAUCGAAGACGAUCAGAUACCGUCGUAGUCUUAACCAUAAACUAUGCCGACUAGGGAUCGGAUGAUGUUAAUUUUUUAAUGACUCAUUCGGCGCCUUACG
RNAcentral lists this ribosomal RNA (499 nucleotides) under uncultured Glomeromycotina. RNAcentral's name for it is "partial small subunit ribosomal RNA". It matches the Rfam family "Eukaryotic small subunit ribosomal RNA", at positions 591 to 1092 of the family's 1831-position model. Lineage: Eukaryota; Fungi; Glomeromycota. The record is from RNAcentral.